Long non-coding RNA from Cynoglossus semilaevis (tongue sole), 448 nucleotides. RefSeq lists it as uncharacterized. NCBI's taxonomy places the organism in Eukaryota, Metazoa, Chordata, Actinopteri, Pleuronectiformes, Cynoglossidae. The record is from RefSeq and is a predicted model, not a curated record. The transcript is spliced from 3 exons.
AAUAUCUUGUGGCACACUGAGCAAACAAAGUCAGCCGAUCCUGGGGAAUUACGUGGACGAGGCUGGUGGAGAGAAAUGAGAAAUGAGCGAAGAAAGGCCAAAAUGAUACUACACCAAACUGAACAAGAAUUCUGAAAAGAGAUGGUUGCCAGUCCACUGGAAUGAUAGAAGGAGCUUCGGACCAUCAGUGCGGACCAGUCCAGCCUGGCAUCAGUCCUCGGUCUUUCUCCGGACCCUAGUAAAGACAUUUCCGUCCUCGCUGCUGUCUCACGUCCCAUACUGGCUCCAGGCUGAGAGACAGUGACCGUCUGUUUACUGUCGGCUCCACACGGACCUUGUUUCUUUUUGAUCAGGAAAGACCUUGGCAUCCUUUUGGUUCUCUUACUGCUGCUGUAUUACCUGGAUCACUGUGAAUGUUGGACUGAGAGCUUUGGGUAAGGUGGUGAUG